RNAcentral lists this ribosomal RNA (257 nucleotides) under uncultured bacterium. RNAcentral's name for it is "partial 16S ribosomal RNA". It matches the Rfam family "Bacterial small subunit ribosomal RNA", at positions 524 to 776 of the family's 1533-position model. The record is from RNAcentral.
UACGAAGGGGGCUAGCGUUGCUCGGAAUUACUGGGCGUAAAGGGCGCGUAGGCGGAUAGUUUAGUCAGAGGUGAAAGCCCAGGGCUCAACCUUGGAAUUGCCUUUGAUACUGGCUGUCUUGAGUACGGGAGAGGUGAGUGGAACUCCGAGUGUAGAGGUGAAAUUCGUAGAGUAUUCGGAAGAACACCAGUGGCGGAAGGCGACUCACUGGCCCGGUACUGACGACUGAGGCGCGAAAGCGGUGGGGAGCAAACAGG